CUCGUCACACUAUCAUUAACUGAAUCCAUAGGUUAAUGAGGCGAACCGGGGGAACUGAAACAUCUAAGUACCCCGAGGAAAAGAAAUCAACCGAGAUUCCCCCAGUAGCGGCGAGCGAACGGGGAGGAGCCCAGAGCCUGAAUCAGCAUGUGUGUUAGUGGAAGCGUCUGGAAAGGCGCGCGAUACAGGGUGACAGCCCCGUACACAAAAGCGCAUGUGCUGUGAGCUCGAUGAGUAGGGCGGGACACGUGGUAUCCUGUCUGAAUAUGGGGGGACCAUCCUCCAAGGCUAAAUACUCCUGACUGACCGAUAGUGAACCAGUACCGUGAGGGAAAGGCGAAAAGAACCCCGGCGAGGGGAGUGAAAAAGAACCUGAAACCGUGUACGUACAAGCAGUGGGAGCACAGGUUUACCUGUGUGACUGCGUACCUUUUGUAUAAUGGGUCAGCGACUUAUAUUCUGUAGCAAGGUUAACCGAAUAGGGGAGCCGGAGGGAAACCGAGUCUUAAUUGGGCGUUAAGUUGCAGGGUAUAGACCCGAAACCCGGUGAUCUAGCCAUGGGCAGGUUGAAGGUUGGGUAACACUAACUGGAGGACCGAACCGACUAAUGUUGAAAAAUUAGCGGAUGACCUGUGGCUGGGGGUGAAAGGCCAAUCAAACCGGGAGAUAGCUGGUUCUCCCCGAAAGCUAUUUAGGUAGCGCCUCGUGAAUUCAUCUCCGGGGGUAGAGCACUGUUUCGGCUAGGGGGCCAUCCCGGCUUACCAACCCGAUGCAAACUGCGAAUACCGGAGAAUGUUAUCACGGGAGACACACGGCGGGUGCUAACGUCCGUCGUGAAGAGGGAAACAACCCAGACCGCCAGCUAAGGUCCCAAAGUCAUGGUUAAGUGGGAAACGAUGUGGGAAGGCCCAGACAGCCAGGAUGUUGGCUUAGAAGCAGCCAUCAUUUAAAGAAAGCGUAAUAGCUCACUGGUCGAGUCGGCCUGCGCGGAAGAUGUAACGGGGCUAAACCAUGCACCGAAGCUGCGGCAGCGACACUGUGUGUUGUUGGGUAGGGGAGCGUUCUGUAAGCCUGUGAAGGUGUGUCGUGAGGCAUGCUGGAGGUAUCAGAAGUGCGAAUGCUGACAUAAGUAACGAUAAAGCGGGUGAAAAGCCCGCUCGCCGGAAGACCAAGGGUUCCUGUCCAACGUUAAUCGGGGCAGGGUGAGUCGACCCCUAAGGCGAGGCCGAAAGGCGUAGUCGAUGGGAAACGGGUUAAUAUUCCCGUACUUGGUGUUACUGCGAAGGGGGGACGGAGAAGGCUAUGUUGGCCGGGCGACGGUUGUCCCGGUUUAAGCGUGUAGGUGUGUGUUCCAGGUAAAUCCGGUUCACUUUAACACUGAGGCGUGACGACGAGGCACUACGGUGCUGAAGCAACAAAUGCCCUGCUUCCAGGAAAAGCCUCUAAGCAUCAGGUAACAUCAAAUCGUACCCCAAACCGACACAGGUGGUCAGGUAGAGAAUACCAAGGCGCUUGAGAGAACUCGGGUGAAGGAACUAGGCAAAAUGGUGCCGUAACUUCGGGAGAAGGCACGCUGACACGUAGGUGAAGUGAUUUACUCAUGGAGCUGAAGUCAGUCGAAGAUACCAGCUGGCUGCAACUGUUUAUUAAAAACACAGCACUGUGCAAACACGAAAGUGGACGUAUACGGUGUGACGCCUGCCCGGUGCCGGAAGGUUAAUUGAUGGGGUCAGCGCAAGCGAAGCUCCUGAUCGAAGCCCCGGUAAACGGCGGCCGUAACUAUAACGGUCCUAAGGUAGCGAAAUUCCUUGUCGGGUAAGUUCCGACCUGCACGAAUGGCGUAAUGAUGGCCAGGCUGUCUCCACCCGAGACUCAGUGAAAUUGAACUCGCUGUGAAGAUGCAGUGUACCCGCGGCAAGACGGAAAGACCCCGUGAACCUUUACUAUAGCUUGACACUGAACAUUGAGCCUUGAUGUGUAGGAUAGGUGGGAGGCUUUGAAGUGUGGACGCCAGUCUGCAUGGAGCCGACCUUGAAAUACCACCCUUUAAUGUUUGAUGUUCUAACGUGGACCCGUUACCCGGGUUGCGGACAGUGUCUGGUGGGUAGUUUGACUGGGGCGGUCUCCUCCUAAAGAGUAACGGAGGAGCACGAAGGUUGGCUAAUCCUGGUCGGACAUCAGGAGGUUAGUGCAAUGGCAUAAGCCAGCUUGACUGCGAGCGUGACGGCGCGAGCAGGUGCGAAAGCAGGUCAUAGUGAUCCGGUGGUUCUGAAUGGAAGGGCCAUCGCUCAACGGAUAAAAGGUACUCCGGGGAUAACAGGCUGAUACCGCCCAAGAGUUCAUAUCGACGGCGGUGUUUGGCACCUCGAUGUCGGCUCAUCACAUCCUGGGGCUGAAGUAGGUCCCAAGGGUAUGGCUGUUCGCCAUUUAAAGUGGUACGCGAGCUGGGUUUAGAACGUCGUGAGACAGUUCGGUCCCUAUCUGCCGUGGGCGCUGGAGAACUGAGGGGGGCUGCUCCUAGUACGAGAGGACCGGAGUGGACGCAUCACUGGUGUUCGGGUUGUCAUGCCAAUGGCACUGCCCGGUAGCUAAAUGCGGAAGAGAUAAGUGCUGAAAGCAUCUAAGCACGAAACUUGCCCCGAG
RNAcentral lists this ribosomal RNA (2643 nucleotides) under Salmonella enterica subsp. enterica serovar Enteritidis. RNAcentral describes it as "partial 23S ribosomal RNA". It matches the Rfam family "Bacterial large subunit ribosomal RNA". Lineage: Bacteria; Pseudomonadati; Pseudomonadota; Gammaproteobacteria; Enterobacterales; Enterobacteriaceae. The record is from RNAcentral.